This 274-nucleotide ribosomal RNA is filed under the name uncultured bacterium. RNAcentral's name for it is "partial 16S ribosomal RNA". It matches the Rfam family "Bacterial small subunit ribosomal RNA", at positions 523 to 796 of the family's 1533-position model. The record is from RNAcentral.
CUACGGAGGGGGUUAGCGUUGUUCGGAAUUACUGGGCGUAAAGCGCACGUAGGCGGACUGGAAAGUUGGGGGUGAAAUCCCGGGGCUCAACCCUGGAACUGCCUCCAAAACUUCCAAUCUAGAGAUCGAGAGAGGUGAGUGGAAUUCCAAGUGUAGAGGUGAAAUUCGUAGAUAUUUGGAGGAACACCAGUGGCGAAGGCGGCUCACUGGCUCGAUACUGACGCUGAGGUGCGAAAGCGUGGGGAGCAAACAGGAUUAGAAACCCUAGUAGUCC